GACGAACGCUGGCGGCGUGCCUAACACAUGCAAGUCGAACGGAAAGGCCCUGCUUUUGUGGGGUGCUCGAGUGGCGAAGGGGUGAGUAACACGUGUGUAACCUGUCCUUGUCUUUGGGAUAACUUCAGGAAACUGGGGCUAAUAUAGGAUAGGAUCUACUGCUGCAUGGUGGGCGUUGGAAAGUUUCGGCGGUUGGGGAUGGAAUCGCGGCUUAUCGGCUUGUUGGUGGGGUAGUGGAUUACCAAGGCUUUGAAGGGUAGCCGGCCUGAGAGGGGGACCGGGCACAAGAGGACUGAGAUAGGGCCCAGACGCGAACGUUAGGCAACAGUGGGGAGUAUUACACAGUGGGCGGGAGCCAGAUGUGACAACGCCGCGUGCGGGAAGACGUCCUUCGGGUGGUGAACCGCUGUCGCCUGAGACGUAGCGUUAGUGACGGUAACGGGUAAAGAAGCACCGGCUAACUACGUG
RNAcentral lists this ribosomal RNA (468 nucleotides) under uncultured bacterium. Its description in RNAcentral is "partial 16S ribosomal RNA". It matches the Rfam family "Bacterial small subunit ribosomal RNA", at positions 28 to 507 of the family's 1533-position model. The record is from RNAcentral.